This 165-nucleotide ribosomal RNA is filed under the name Alangium griffithii. RNAcentral describes it as "5.8S ribosomal RNA". It matches the Rfam family "5.8S ribosomal RNA". From Rfam's summary of the family: 5.8S ribosomal RNA (5.8S rRNA) is a component of the large subunit of the eukaryotic ribosome. It is transcribed by RNA polymerase I as part of the 45S precursor that also contains 18S and 28S rRNA. The record is from RNAcentral. Lineage: Eukaryota; Viridiplantae; Streptophyta; Magnoliopsida; Cornales; Cornaceae.
AAACGACUCUCGACAACGGAUAUCUCGGCUCUUGCAUCGAUGAAGAACGUAGUGAAAUGCGAUACUUGGUGUGAAUUGCAGAAUCCCGUGAACCAUCGAGUCUUUGAACGCAAGUUGCGCCCGAAGCCAUUAGGCCGAGGGCACGUCUGCCUGGGCGUCACGCAA